CCUCGAAUCAGGUGGGACUACCCGCUGAACUUAAGCAUAUCAAUAAGCGGAGGAAAAGAAACUAACAAGGAUUCCCCUAGUAACGGCGAGUGAAGCGGGAUGAGCUCAAAUUUAAAAUCUGAUAGUCUUUGGCUGUCCGAGUUGUAAUCUAGAGAAGUGUUUUCCGCGUUGGACCAUGUACAAGUUUCCUGGAACGGAACGUCAUAGAGGGUGAGAAUCCCGUCCUUGACAUGGACUACCAGUGCUUUGUGAUACACUCUCAACGAGUCGAGCUGUUUGGGAUUGCAGCUCAAAAUGGGAGGUAAAUUCCUUCUAAAGCUAAAUAUUGGCGAGAGACCGAUAGCGAACAAGUACCGUGAGGGAAAGAUGAAAAGCACUUUGGAAAGAGAGUUAAACAGUACGUGAAAUUGUUAAAAGGGAAACGAUUGAAGUCAGUCGCGUUUACUUGGACUCAGCCUUACCUCGGUUUGGUGCAUUUCCUUGUGAACGGGCCAGCGUCAAUGUUGUCCGUUGGAAAAGGGUUGGAGAAAUGUGGCUCUUUCGGGAGUGUUAUAGUCUCUGAUCGUAUACAACGGCUGAUAUUGAGUGGUACAGCAUGCUUCGGCGGUGCUUGGCGGCUUGG
RNAcentral lists this ribosomal RNA (622 nucleotides) under uncultured Basidiomycota. Its description in RNAcentral is "LSU rRNA". It matches the Rfam family "Eukaryotic large subunit ribosomal RNA", at positions 1 to 634 of the family's 3401-position model. Lineage: Eukaryota; Fungi; Basidiomycota. The record is from RNAcentral.